Sinocyclocheilus rhinocerous is the source of this 236-nucleotide long non-coding RNA. RefSeq lists it as uncharacterized. The transcript is spliced from 3 exons. The record is from RefSeq and is a predicted model, not a curated record. Lineage: Eukaryota; Metazoa; Chordata; Actinopteri; Cypriniformes; Cyprinidae.
CAGAAGAGGGAGACAGAGACUCUGCAGAGACUGAAUUCUGCUGAAAUCUACCAGAUGUGGAGAUAUAGGCUGUCUCCAGGUUACUAUGGCAACAUGAAUAACAAGCAGUAACAGCACAAGCAUCGCUGGAAGAAACAUGACCAGAAUCACAUCAUGCCUUGACUGUGAGUUGUACAGGAAUCUGCCGAUCUCCUACAGAGCAGAAGUACCAGCCAGAAUCAGUCAGUCUCAGUCCA